Molecule: small nucleolar RNA, 97 nt
Filed under: Dasypus novemcinctus (nine-banded armadillo)
Lineage: Eukaryota; Metazoa; Chordata; Mammalia; Cingulata; Dasypodidae
Description: Small nucleolar RNA SNORA31 (ENSDNOG00000029819.1)
Source: RNAcentral
AUGCAUCUGAAUGUACUACAGAUGCAAGAAAAAGAAGGUCCUUGUACUUUCCGUCUGUCUGGUUAUGGCAGUCAAGACUGAAUGGAGGAAUACAGGA